Molecule: ribosomal RNA, 253 nt
Filed under: uncultured bacterium
Lineage: Bacteria
Description: partial 16S ribosomal RNA
Rfam family: Bacterial small subunit ribosomal RNA
Source: RNAcentral
UACGGGGGGGGCAAGCGUUGUUCGGAAUUACUGGGCGUAAAGGGCUCGUAGGCGGCCAACUAAGUCAGACGUGAAAUCCCUCGGCUUAACCGGGGAACUGCGUCUGAUACUGGAUGGCUUGAGAUUGGGAGAGGGAUGCGGAAUUCCAGGUGUAGCGGUGAAAUGCGUAGAUAUCUGGAGGAACACCGGUGGCGAAGGCGACAUCCUGGACCAACACUGACGCUGAGGAGCGAAAGCCAGGGGAGCGAACGGG